AACGCGAAGAACCUUACCUGGGCUCGAAAUGCAGGGGAAUCCGGAUGAAAGUCUGGCGCCCGCAAGGGCCGCUGCAUAGGUGCUGCAUGGCUGUCGUCAGCUCGUGUCGUGAGAUGUUGGGUUAAGUCCCGCAACGAGCGCAACCCUCAUCUUUAGUUGCCAUGCCGCAAGGCGGCACUCUAAAGAAACUGUCGGCCACAAGCCGAAGGAAGGUGGGGAUGACGUCAAGUCCUCAUGGCCUUUAUGUCCAGGGCCACACACGUGCUACAAUGGACGGCACAAAGCGCUGCAAACCCGCGAGGGGGAGCCAAUCGCAAAAAGCCGUUCUCAGUUCGGAUUGCAGUCUGCAACUCGACUGCAUGAAGCUGGAAUCGCUAGUAAUCGCGGAUCAGCACGCCGCGGUGAAUACGUUCCCGGGCCUUGUA
RNAcentral lists this ribosomal RNA (425 nucleotides) under uncultured delta proteobacterium. RNAcentral describes it as "bacterial SSU rRNA". It matches the Rfam family "Bacterial small subunit ribosomal RNA", at positions 958 to 1385 of the family's 1533-position model. Lineage: Bacteria; Deltaproteobacteria. The record is from RNAcentral.